AUACGUAGGGGGCGAGCGUUGUCCGGAAUGAUUGGGCGUAAAGGGCGCGUAGGCGGCCCGGUAAGUCUGGAGUGAAAGUCCUGUUUUUAAGAUGGGAAUUGCUUUGGAUACUGUCGGGCUUGAGUGCAGGAGAGGUAAGUGGAUUUCCCAGUGUAGCGGUGAAAUGCGUAGAGAUUGGGAGGAACACCAGUGGCGAAGGCGACUUACUGGACUGUAACUGACGCUGAGGCGCGAAAGUGUGGGGAGCAAACAGGAUUAGAUACCCUGGUAGUCCACACUGUAAACGAUGAAUGCUAGGUGUAGGGGGUAUCGACCCCUUCUGUGCCGCAGUCAACACAAUAAGCAUUCCGCCUGGGGAGUACGGCCGCAAGGUUGAAACUUAAAGGAAUUGACGGGG
RNAcentral lists this ribosomal RNA (397 nucleotides) under uncultured bacterium. RNAcentral describes it as "partial 16S ribosomal RNA". It matches the Rfam family "Bacterial small subunit ribosomal RNA", at positions 523 to 918 of the family's 1533-position model. The record is from RNAcentral.